This 295-nucleotide ribosomal RNA is filed under the name uncultured bacterium. Its description in RNAcentral is "partial 16S ribosomal RNA". It matches the Rfam family "Bacterial small subunit ribosomal RNA", at positions 28 to 327 of the family's 1533-position model. The record is from RNAcentral.
GACGAACGCUGGCGGCGUGGAUUAGGCAUGCAAGUCGCGCGACAGACCUUCGGGUUAUGGAGCGGCGAACGGGUGAGUAACACGUGAGAAAUCUACCUUUACGUUCCGGAUAAUUGGAAGAAAUUCCUUGUAAUACGGGGGAGGUUCCUGCAUAGGCAUCUAUAUAGGAACAAACGAGCAAUCGGCGCAAAGAUGAUCUCGCGGCUUAUCAGGUAGUUGGUGGGGUAACGGCCCACCAAGCCAUCGAUCAGUAACUGGUGUGAGAGCACGACCAGUCACACGGGCACUGAGACAC